GACGAACCGUGCGAACGUUGUUCGGAAUCAUUGGGCUUAAAGGGCGCGUAGGCGGGUCUUCAAGUCAGGGGUGAAAGCCCACGGCUCAACCGUGGAAGAGCCUUUGAUACUGAGGAUCUCGAGGGAGGUAGGGGCAUGCGGAACUUCCGGUGGAGCGGUGAAAUGCGUAGAUAUCGGAAGGAACACCGGUGGCGAAAGCGGCGUGCUGGACCUCUACUGACGCUGAGGCGCGAAAGCUAGGGGAGCAAACGGG
RNAcentral lists this ribosomal RNA (253 nucleotides) under uncultured bacterium. Its description in RNAcentral is "partial 16S ribosomal RNA". It matches the Rfam family "Bacterial small subunit ribosomal RNA", at positions 524 to 776 of the family's 1533-position model. The record is from RNAcentral.